This is a long non-coding RNA of Dreissena polymorpha, 970 nucleotides long. RefSeq lists it as uncharacterized. The transcript is spliced from 3 exons. NCBI's taxonomy places the organism in Eukaryota, Metazoa, Mollusca, Bivalvia, Myida, Dreissenidae. The record is from RefSeq and is a predicted model, not a curated record.
AGUUAAUGAGUUUUUCCAUUAACAAGAAUUUCUUAAAAUAAUAAUGUAUGAAUAUCAUUUGGAAAGUGACAUGAAAUGUUGUUUAAAAGUGAUGCAUACAAGUGUUUCAGAAGUCUGUCUAGGAAUAGAACAACAACUGAAGCUGACCAGUUGAUGAAAGAUACUGCAGAGUUUGGCAGGGAAAUAACCCAAGACAGCAAAGCGGCUCUAUUGGCGCAUUUACUAAGAGGACUAACAUGGCCACAAAUUCAUGAGAUCAUGCAGGAGCCGUACAGUAUAACAGCAGUACAAGUUCUAUAAAAGAUGCACGACCUACUGAAGCCCAGCUAAUUAACAAAAAAGUUUUUAAAACUGUAAUUUUAUCCCACCUGGGUACUUAUAAUUUACUAAGCUGCCUACACAAGUUUUAGACUUGCAAUUAUAUUUUAAACUGUCACUUGGAAAGUAAUACAUGUACAUGCAUUAUGUUCUGAAUUUCUUUGAACAAUAAAAUUAUAUAAAAGUAUUUUAAUGAAAUUGAGCACCUAAAUUGCAUUAAAGUGAAAGUAGCUGAGAAAAAUAGUAUCCUUGUGCUCAUGGGCAGCUACAUAUAUUGUGACAAACAUGAAUUAGCUAAAAUAACUUAAAUUUUUCAUUUUGUUUCUUGUAUAUCGUUUGUACAGGGUUCGUGAAUUGUUACUGUAUAUUACUUGACUUGCUUGUAUUUUGUUACUUUGAAUACAUGUUGUGAAGGUUGCAUUAUACUUUUUAACUUUUAAAGUAGCGCCUGUUCUGUUAUGUAAGGGCCUGAUUUAUGAUAAUGAACAUAGAGGCUUUGUAAGCAUGUAUUAAACAACACUUGUUUGAUCUGAAUAAUUUGUUAAAUAAAUGUAACACAAUUUGUAAUCUGAUGUUAUAUUUUGAUGAAUUGUGAACAAAAUAAUACAUCGAAGAAACUAAGGCAUUAUGUUGAUUUUUUGUUUUGUUUUAA